Molecule: unclassified non-coding RNA, 176 nt
Filed under: uncultured Sordariomycetes
Lineage: Eukaryota; Fungi; Ascomycota; Sordariomycetes
Description: sequence contains ITS1
Source: RNAcentral
AAGAGUUGCAAAACUCCCUUAAACCAUCGCGAACGUUACUCUAUAACCGUUGCUUCGGCGGGCGGGCUUACCCCUCACGGGGCGCCCCCCGGCCCCUCGCGGGGCGCUCGCCGGAGCGGCGCAACCCAAACUCUUAUAAUUAUUGGCCUCUCUGAGUAAGAUUUUUAAAUAAGUCA